CCUACGGGUGGCAGCAGUGAGGAAUAUUGGUCAAUGGGCGCGAGCCUGAUCCAGCCAAGUAGCGUGAAGGAUGACUGCCCUCCGGGUUGUAAACUUCUUUUAUAAAGGAAUAAAGUGAGGCACGUGUGCCUUUUUGUAUGUACUUUAUGAAUAAGGAUCGGCUAACUCCGUUCCAGCAGCGGCGGUAAUACGGAGGAUCCGAGCGUUGUCUGGAUUUGUUGGGUUUAAAGGGAGUGUAGCGUGGUUGUUAAGUUAGUUGUGAAAGUCUGCGGCUCAACCGUAAAAUUGCAAUUGAUACUGGCAGACUAGAGUACAGUAGGGGUAGGCGGAAUUCGUGGUGUAGCGGUGAAAUGCUUAGAUAUCACGAAGAACUCCGAUGGCGAAGGCAGCUUACUAGACUGCCACUGACGUUGAUGCACGAAAGUGUGGGUAUCAAACAGGAUUAGAUACCCGGGUAGUC
RNAcentral lists this ribosomal RNA (460 nucleotides) under uncultured bacterium. RNAcentral describes it as "partial 16S ribosomal RNA". It matches the Rfam family "Bacterial small subunit ribosomal RNA", at positions 338 to 795 of the family's 1533-position model. The record is from RNAcentral.